RNAcentral lists this ribosomal RNA (916 nucleotides) under uncultured archaeon. Its description in RNAcentral is "bacterial SSU rRNA". It matches the Rfam family "Archaeal small subunit ribosomal RNA", at positions 1 to 922 of the family's 1478-position model. The record is from RNAcentral.
UUUCCGGUUGAUCCCGCCGCCGGCCACUGCUAUCAGGUUUCGAUUAAGCCAUGCGAGUCAAGGGGUCGCAAGACACCGGCGAACCGCUCAGUAACACGCGGACAAUCUAACCUAAGAUGGGGUAUAGCCUCGGGAAACUGAGGGUAAUUCUCCAUAGUCAUCAUAUGUUGGAAUACUGUGAUGAUGAAAGCCUCGGCGUCUUAGGAUGGGUCUGCGGCCUAUCAGGCUGUAUGCGGUGUAAAGGACCACAUAACCGAAGACGGGUACGGGCCUUGAGAGAGGAAGCCCGGAGAUGGACUCUGAGACACUAGUCCAGGCCCUACGGGGCGCAGCAGGCGCGAAACUUGUGCAAUGCGCGAAAGCGCGACACAGGAAACCUGAGUGCCUUGACAAUGUCAAGGCUUUUCUUAAGCUUAAAAAGCUCAAGGAAUAAGGGCUGGGUAAGACGGGUGCCAGCCGCCGCGGUAACACCCGCAGCCCAAGUGGUGGUCAUGAUUAUUGAGUCUAAAGCGUUCGUAGCCGGUUUCGUAAAUCUUUAGAUAAAUCCUUCCGCUCAACGGAAGGACUUCUGAAGAGACUGCGAAGCUAGGGAAUGGGUGAGGUCGAAUGUACUUCUGGGGUAGGGGUAAAAUCCUGUAAUCCUGGAAGGACAACCAGUGGCGAAGGCGUUCAACUAGAACAUGUCCGACGGUGAGGAACGAAGGCUAAGGGAGCAAACCGGAUUAGAUACCCGGGUAGUCUUAGCUGUAAACACUGCCCACUUGGUGUUGCCUCUCCGUUGAGGGGGGGCAGUGCCGGAGCGAAGGUGUUAAGUGGGCCACUUGGGGAGUAUGGUCGCAAGGCUGAAACUUAAAGGAAUUGGCGGGGGAGCACCGCAACGGGAGGAGCGUGCGGUUUAAUUGGAUUCAACGCCGGA